RNAcentral lists this non-coding RNA (22 nucleotides) under Mus musculus (house mouse). Lineage: Eukaryota; Metazoa; Chordata; Mammalia; Rodentia; Muridae. The record is from RNAcentral.
GUGUCUCAGAGAGUGGCUGCCA